RNAcentral lists this ribosomal RNA (433 nucleotides) under uncultured bacterium. Its description in RNAcentral is "partial 16S ribosomal RNA". It matches the Rfam family "Bacterial small subunit ribosomal RNA", at positions 28 to 507 of the family's 1533-position model. The record is from RNAcentral.
GACGAACGCUGGCGGCAUGCCUAACACAUGCAAGUCGAACGAGACCUUCGGGUCUAGUGGCGCACGGGUGCGUAACGCGUGGGAACCUGCCCUUAGGUUCGGAAUAACUCCCCGAAAGGGGUGCUAAUACCGGAUAAUGUCUUCGGACCAAAGAUUUAUCGCCUUUGGAUGGGCCCGCGUUGGAUUAGCUAGUUGGUAGGGUAAAAGCCUACCAAGGCGACGAUCCAUAGCUGGUCUGAGAGGAUGAUCAGCCACACUGGGUCUGAGACACGGCCCAGACUCCUACGGGAGGCAGCAGUGGGGAAUAUUGGACAAUGGGCGAAAGCCUGAUCCAGCAAUGCCGCGUGAGUGAUGAAGGCCUUAGGGUUGUAAAGCUCUUUUACCCGGGAUGAUAAUGACAGUACCGGGAGAAUAAGCUCCGGCUAACUCCGUG